Molecule: ribosomal RNA, 253 nt
Filed under: uncultured bacterium
Lineage: Bacteria
Description: partial 16S ribosomal RNA
Rfam family: Bacterial small subunit ribosomal RNA
Source: RNAcentral
UACGUAGGGGGCAAGCGUUGUCCGGAAUCACUGGGCGUAAAGCGCGUGUAGGUGGCCAGGUAAGUCCGCUGUGAAAUCUCGAGGCUCAACUUCGAGCUGUCGGUGGAAACUGUCUGGCUAGAGUCCGGAAGAGGAGAGUGGAAUUCCUGGUGUAGCGGUGAAAUGCGCAGAUAUCAGGAAGAACACCCGUGGCGAAGGCGGUUCUCUGGGACGGUACUGACGCUGAGACGCGAAAGCGUGGGGAGCGAACAGG